CCAUAUCUGAUAUCUGAAACUCGUUUCUAAUAGGAGAAAGAAUGUUGGAAGUGAAUGAUGCCUCCACCAAUCAGCAGGGAGCCUUUGACUCGAGGAUCAUGAAACAGAUACGAAGAUGGCCUGACUGCUGAAGAAUACGAAGGAAGAUUUAAUUGCUCAGUGGAGGCAAUGUUACAGAAAUCGCAAGCUUUGGUGUUGUUUAUGGGGACCUCAGAACAUUGCUUCUUUAUGUAUACAGAAGUCAGACACCAUUCUAUGUACUUCCCUGAUAUUUUGGACCUUCUCAGGAAGGUAAACUUCUUUUUAUGCAGUAUGGUAAAUUUUAAAAAUACCAGUCUUCCACUUUUUGAAAAUUUUAUUACUUCUGCCACGUGGUUGCUUUAUUGUUUUGGUGAUCCUGUUAUGCUCACGUGGCCCUUCGGCAUGUACCUCAUACAUAACCCUCCAUCCAGGUGAGAGCCCCGAUAUAUUCUUGGAUCUUUAAGAGAUGGUGCAGAGAGCAAUAUUAAUUUUCUGUUUCAUUGUUCUAUUAAUAGAAGAAAACAAGCUUUUUUGUUCAGGUUUCAGAUCUCUUGAGUUCAGUGGAACUCAUAGAAGAAAGGAAACUUUCUGUUCUAUGGUGUCCCACUGUUCCAGGUUUUAGGGAUGAUCACUAGACUUGGAAGUGUGAAUUUAUUGUUGUCGCAUGUGGGUAUGUACCUACUGAUGUGUAUAAAACCACGACUUUUUUCUUUGACAAGUAUUUCCGUUCACAUUCAUAGCAAGAAUAAAUAAAUGUACCAUGACCUGUGUUGUCCAUGCCAUUUAUCUCUAUUGUGUGUUUAAGAUAAAUGACAUUUAUCUUAAAAUUGUUAAAGAAACUAUUUUGCAACAAGUUUCCUUCAAAUUGUUAAAGAAACUAUUUUUCAACUGUAAGAAUGUAAAUUAAUUAGUUUCGGGGUGUUUUUUUGGAAACAUGGAUGAUAUAGGUGGAGAGUUUGGCACGACACACUGGCCCUGGGCAGUCGCAGCCCAGACCUUUCCUUUACCAAUGUUCUUAUUUUAGAGUUUACAUCCCACGUCAAAUGUUUCUUUCCAUGUAGGAGUACAUUCCCAUUUCUCUAGGAUGCUCGAUAUUUUGGCCACCCACGAUAGGGUUCUAAGAAUUGAUAUCACAGUUACUAGGUUUCCAAGUAUUACAUUCAUAUUUUGUCUUUGAACCGUGUUAUUUUUCAGUUUAAGUUUGUUCUUGCUACAUCAUUUAUUUACAGAUUCUCCAAAUAGACGAGCAAGGCAACCGACCUGGGGAGAGACCUACUGAUUUGGGCUUGCGGGAGCAUGUAUGUGGCUUGACUAUGAUGACCGCAAUAUGGGGAUUUCCAGGGACUUCAUGGUAGAUUUGAUCAAAAGACAAGCAAGGCAAUUGAGCUGCGGAGAGACCCGCUGAUUUGGACUUGCGGGAGUGUGUCUUGGAUGGCUUGACUAUGAUCUCCGUGUUAUAAUGAUAUCUGAAUUUCCGAUUCAUGUCUUAUGUCUUACUCAAAGUCUAGAUGACCAAAAUCUAACUUUGUACUGGUUCGUAUGUGUUUACCAAAUCUGCAGUAGGUAAAUGAGUUUUACUUGGCAUACAAAUUUGAUGUUAUAGCAUUAAAUCUCCUCAUGAUAUACUUAGUAAUUUACACAGAUUUCAUUUAUGCUAUAGUUUUGAUUGUGCAUGUGCACUUGAACUCUGUUUGAUCAUCUACACUGUUGUCAAAAGACUUGAAACAUAUGAUAGUGGGAUUAUAUUUGAAUGAUAUGAUUGUUGAUUGAUAGCAUUUUUGCUGCUACAGCUCGCCAUUUUUUAUGGUUUGAACACAUGCAUCUUAAAAAUGUCCUGCUUAUAUAUAUUUACUUCCUUUUUUUCUAUCUUAGGUGUGCUACAAAUUCUUCAACCAACAAUUUAGUGUACAUGUGUUUUGCUUGUAGCUUGCUCAAGGCACUGCUGGCAUGACAGGUCCUAUGCUCAGAUCAAACAUUCCUUUACCCAAGUGUAUGAAUCUAUAUUAUUUUAUCUUUAUCUUCUGCUCUGGCUAUUAUGAGAAAAAAUUUCAACACAUUGUUUGUAACAUUGAAGAAAGCUAUUAACAGUUCUAAUCAGCGACACAUGAUUUAUUUCUUAGCAAGUAGUUUGUGACUUUUUUUCUAAAAUGUAAUAGGCAGUAACUUUUGAGGUUCAUGUGCUUAUAGUGUUACUUAAUUAGUGAGUUAGUGCUAGAUCAGUGUCCCAACACAAUGAUGAUAUGCCUCAUAUAAGAGCAAUAUUCUUCUCUGAGGAAAGCUGAAGCGCAAAACUGAAAACCAAACUUGAGUCUGAAUGAAAAGUUCAUUCUGCACGGUUUAAGUUCGUUUUGAACUUUAACUUUUCUAUUGACUUGUCCUCUGUACAUGUUUCAAGCAAUAGCUUUGACCUUAAAUGGAGACUAUUAAUUGGAGUGUUCCAUCUUAUUGUAUUGUAUGUUGAUA
This is a long non-coding RNA of Lolium rigidum, 2484 nucleotides long. RefSeq lists it as uncharacterized. The record is from RefSeq and is a predicted model, not a curated record. The transcript is spliced from 3 exons. NCBI's taxonomy places the organism in Eukaryota, Viridiplantae, Streptophyta, Magnoliopsida, Poales, Poaceae.